CAUCCUAAAAUCGUAUUUUGGUAUCCAUUUUAAAUCUAAAGAAAGGUAGGAAAGUGUGAGAUCAAGAUUUAAAGGUGGAUCUGGGUUUGUUUGAUGGGAUGAAAAAAAAAAUCCUGCAGGUUGCAGCAAGGUUGGGUUUCCCACAGUAAAUGGGAGCAAUGAACUUAAAGACCAGAAAACAAAAGAGAUUCCAAAUCAGAAUUCUACAGAUGGCUCUAUUAAUUACAGACCGACCUGCAAUCUGUGUGCUCUCUUCUGAUAUAUUUAAAUUUUAGGUGUUUGAGAUCUGCUGUUGUAGUUGUGAGUCGGGCAGGAUGUGAGCCCAAGGAUCUCUGCAAUGACGAAAUCUGCUGGUGGGAGUGCAGUGGUCAUUAGCACCGAGCUCCUGCUUCCCCAAAACGGGAAUGAGAGAACUGUGGGCUUGGAAACGUUGAAGAGGCAAUCUCGGCAUCUUUAGUUGCCAGAUGCAACUCACUGUGAACAUGUGAACGUUUGUCCUGCGUGCCUGUGUAAGGGUAGAAGUGCUCAAGAUGGGGACAGAGCAAAGCUAACUUACAGUGUGACACUUGCUUUCACACCUACUCUGCUUUCAUUAAUCAAACUGACUUGUUCUAGGCUACUUCAGAUGAGCUGUGAUUCCUGCAGUGCCAGCUUAACGUGGUACCACAGAGCACUGCCAACCCUUCUGCUGAGAGCUGGUGUCCACAAAGCCCAGCUGAAAAUGCCUGCACUUCGGCUGCUUCAACACAGAACCUGCUCACUUCGGCUGACACCUGAAUUUCAGCUGCCUCAGGGCAAGAAAACAACUGGCUGAGUCCAGCAGUGCUUUCAUCCACCACAAGAGCUUGCCUGGAUUAAUGGCAAAGAACAUCCUGGAAGACAUGGAGAGGUGGAGGAACUCUGCAUUUUGCAGCACUGAACCCUGAGCCAGGCUGGCACCUUCUGG
Long non-coding RNA from Ficedula albicollis (Collared flycatcher), 946 nucleotides. RefSeq lists it as uncharacterized. Lineage: Eukaryota; Metazoa; Chordata; Aves; Passeriformes; Muscicapidae. The transcript has 4 exons. The record is from RefSeq and is a predicted model, not a curated record.